Non-coding RNA from Anas platyrhynchos (mallard), 1803 nucleotides. The record is from RefSeq and is a predicted model, not a curated record. NCBI's taxonomy places the organism in Eukaryota, Metazoa, Chordata, Aves, Anseriformes, Anatidae.
AGAAGAAUGCAGAUUAAGUUAAAAAGAAAUAGCGAUCAUUAUCCUUUCCAUCUUUGAUACUGCUGCUCUUGAGAAUAAAAGAAGGAGAAAGCCAAAUCCUUCUACCCUCUACCUCAACUUCAAAAAUGAGAUCCAUAUUGGUACAAUAAGAAGGACUAAAAUCUCCUUUCUUACUAUUGCUGAAAACACAAAGACCUACAGCUGUUCAUAUUCAGUGACAUCCUGAUCUCUGUUACAUCAAGCCUACAUGAUGUAGCUUUACACCACCUCUCCAAGUUUCAUGCACCAGUUUCAGCAGAUUCCUCGUACUAGAAACCUUCCAAGGGGACUUCAGAUGUGAAAACACAGAGAAGACCAAAUAAACUCUUCAUACUUUAUUCAGAAAUAUACGGCUUGAGAGAAAAACAGCUCAGCCAGGACUUAACAGUGCCUUUGCCUCAGAGCAGCCUGUGAGUGCUGACAGUGCUUCAUUUUACGCACCGAAGAGGUAGGAGGACUCCCUGGAGAGCACCUCUUACAUUCAAGAUGCUGACAUGUUGGACUUUCUCAUAUAGCUUCAGAUUUCAAGUGAGGAAGAGUUAGAACAAGGUUGUUCCAUGUGAUGGUAGCAAUAUGAGGUGUUCAGCACUGAUUCCAAGUGUGGAUCUGAGGAAGGAGGUCUUCAUGGAGUUGCACUUGAAGCUUCAGAGAAAUGCUCAUGCCAGGCCCCAUCAGGGAGAGGACUGUGCCAGUUCAGAAAUGAGUUGUGAUUGUGAUCUGAAAGGCUGCUGCUUCACAAUGCUGCAAGUACCCGCCUAACAAAUUAAACUUUCACAAGUCAAUGAAAAGUGGUGCAGGAGUCAACUUUGUGGUACUCAUUGAUGGUACUCAUUUAUGUAAAUACUGCUGUGCUGUACGAGGUCAGAAAUUACUUGGAAGCGAUACAGCAACUUUAUUGUUCACUCAUGAACUCAAAAGCUCAACUGAAAGAGGCAGUCAACUUAAAUUCUUCUGUUGAGCCUUCUUCGAGGCUUUUUUGCUGCUUGUGUAAUGGCAGUGCAUGUUUGCUAUAUGGGUUGUGCUGUGCAGCUGGAGUGAUCUGAGGUUUAGUGACUGUCCAAGAUAUGAAUUUAUUCUCCUUUUAGGACCUAAUCUUCACUGUUCUGACCUAUAGAAACAUAACAUGAAAUUCAAGCAUCUUACAGAACAAAUUUUAUUUGCAAGGCUGGCACUGACAGAAUUGACAGGUGCACUACAGUAGCAGCUACCUACACAACUACUUAGAUGUCAGUGAUUAAUGCCAUCCAUGUUGCCACUCCAGAUUUUUCCAACCAAAUGCCUGCAGGUGAGAGUUUUCCUCAAGAGGAAUCAAAGAAAUUCAGCUGCCUUUUGCUGCUUUCAGAGCCCUGGGUGGGUUCUCCCCCUCCUAACUCUCCUGGGAUUGGGCUGCCUGGGCUGAGGGCCUUAAUGCAGUUCCCUGGCCUUGAGGCACCUCAGCGGGAGCCCUGCCAAUGCUUGGGAGCCACCUUGAAGUCCCAGCCCUGUCCCAGUCAUGGACCUUAUUCCCCCAGUUCACCACCCCAACCAUAUGUACUGCUCUGCUAAAAAAAAAUUAAAAAAUUGUGUUGCUACACUAAGAAAAUUUAUAGUGGUAUAGUCUUAAAAAAACACAAUGCAGUGCUGAGUUUUUCAACCCUGAAACUAAGUGGGAAGAGAUUGCCUACUGAAGGCAUAUUAAACACAGAUGUAAUCUGUAGCUUAGGAAAUUUGUUGAUUUUUUGAAAGCUGGGAGAGUAUACUGAGAAAAAAUCAUUACUGUGUUUG